UACGAAGGGGGCUAGCGUUGUUCGGAAUUACUGGGCGUAAAGCGCACGCAGGCGGCUCGUUAAAUUAGAAGUGAAAGCCCCGGGCUUAACCUGGGAAUUGCUUUUAAGACUGGCGAGCUAGAAUCCAGAAGAGGGUAGUGGAAUUCCGAGUGUAGAGGUGAAAUUCGUAGAUAUUCGGAAGAACACCAGUGGCGAAGGCGACUACCUGGUCUGGCAUUGACGCUCAUGUGCGAAAGCGUGGGGAGCAAACAGG
This 253-nucleotide ribosomal RNA is filed under the name uncultured prokaryote. Its description in RNAcentral is "partial 16S ribosomal RNA". It matches the Rfam family "Bacterial small subunit ribosomal RNA", at positions 524 to 776 of the family's 1533-position model. The record is from RNAcentral.